This 20-nucleotide non-coding RNA is filed under the name Rattus norvegicus (Norway rat). Lineage: Eukaryota; Metazoa; Chordata; Mammalia; Rodentia; Muridae. The record is from RNAcentral.
AAGCCAAGAAGCAACGGAGA